AUGCAGCACUGGGUUGAGCCCUGGAGGGGGAGGUGGCUCUCGAAAGCGGACCGGGUAAUCCUCAUCAACUCCUCGCUGGCCAGCCUACUCUGGUUUCUCAUGAGCUUCUACAGCCUCCAUGAGACUCUCCAUCAGGAGAUCACCAAAUACCAGUCUAGGUUUUUCUGGGCGGGCGAGGGUGACAAGCAGAAGUACCAUAUGGUGAGCUGGCUAGACAUUUGCAAUCCCAAGGACCAAGGUGGUCUUGGGAUCUUGUCUUCUUGGCGCAUGAACAUUGCCCUCCUGACCCGGUGGCUUUGGCGUAUCGCCAAUGGGGAGGGAGGACUCUGGCUUACCAUCAUCCAAAAUAAGUACCUCAGGGGCCAACCUCUAGCCUUCUGUCAGCGCUCUGGUGGCUCCCAGUUCUGA
Molecule: ribosomal RNA, 408 nt
Filed under: Triticum aestivum (bread wheat)
Lineage: Eukaryota; Viridiplantae; Streptophyta; Magnoliopsida; Poales; Poaceae
Description: partial small subunit ribosomal RNA
Source: RNAcentral